RNAcentral lists this ribosomal RNA (729 nucleotides) under uncultured Staphylococcus sp. RNAcentral's name for it is "bacterial SSU rRNA". It matches the Rfam family "Bacterial small subunit ribosomal RNA", at positions 60 to 771 of the family's 1533-position model. Lineage: Bacteria; Bacillati; Bacillota; Bacilli; Caryophanales; Staphylococcaceae. The record is from RNAcentral.
AGUCGAGCGAACGGACGAGAAGCUUGCUUCUCUGAUGUUAGCGGCGGACGGGUGAGUAACACGUGGAUAACCUACCUAUAAGACUGGGAUAACUUCGGGAAACCGGAGCUAAUACCGGAUAAUAUUUUGAACCGCAUGGUUCAAAAGUGAAAGACGGUCUUGCAGUCACUUAUAGAUGGAUCCGCGCUGCAUUAGCUAGUUGGUAAGGUAACGGCUUACCAAGGCAACGAUGCAUAGCCGACCUGAGAGGGUGAUCGGCCACACUGGAACUGAGACACGGUCCAGACUCCUACGGGAGGCAGCAGUAGGGAAUCUUCCGCAAUGGGCGAAAGCCUGACGGAGCAACGCCGCGUGAGUGAUGAAGGUCUUCGGAUCGUAAAACUCUGUUAUUAGGGAAGAACAUAUGUGUAAGUAACUGUGCACAUCUUGACGGUACCUAAUCAGAAAGCCACGGCUAACUACGUGCCAGCAGCCGCGGUAAUACGCAGGUGGCAAGCGUUAUCCGGAAUUAUUGGGCGUAAAGCGCGCGUAGGCGGUUUUUUAAGUCUGAUGUGAAAGCCCACGGCUCAACCGUGGAGGGUCAUUGGAAACUGGAAAACUUGAGUGCAGAAGAGGAAAGUGGAAUUCCAUGUGUAGCGGUGAAAUGCGCAGAGAUAUGGAGGAACACCAGUGGCGAAGGCGACUUUCUGGUCUGUAACUGACGCUGAUGUGCGAAAGCGUGGGGAUCAA